Long non-coding RNA from Zea mays, 1677 nucleotides. RefSeq lists it as uncharacterized. NCBI's taxonomy places the organism in Eukaryota, Viridiplantae, Streptophyta, Magnoliopsida, Poales, Poaceae. The record is from RefSeq and is a predicted model, not a curated record. The transcript has 5 exons.
UACCCUUGUCGAACCCUAAAUCGCCCACAACCACAAUACCAUCCCCUUCCCCAAAAUUCAACGUUCCUGUGCAUUGCGAGCCGCGGCGGCGGCGGCGGCUCGGUACGCUGCUCCUGUGCGUCCUGGUCGUCGUUCCUCCUGUCCUCCUGCACGUCCACGACUCCACUCAGCUAUGCCAUCUCGUAGGGUUGCUUAACUGCCACGCGCCGGUGUCUCACUGUUGAUUCUCGGCCUCGCGAGCUCCUGCAGACCGAGCGGAGCGGCAUUGGACGGCGGAGCGCAAACUAGCGGUUUGGUGGUCUGGAGUUCUGGACACUGAACUCCACGCCCCAUUGCAGAACAGCAACAGGUCUUCAUCAACCUCGACGCCCCGGUGCACAAGAUCUUCAUCCUGGACUUCUACUGCAUCUGGGUUUUGCACUAGUGUUGCACUGUUGCCCAGAAGCAGAGCAUCGCCUUUGCGAUUUAUGUCCGCAUUCGGCACUCAGUACAGUAAUCGAGCAAUUCAGCAGAUUUGAUUGUGAUGGAACGAGGUAGCAGGUCUGCAACGCAGGGCAAUGCAAAGCGGAAAGAAAGAGCUGCUGCGGAGUCGUCGUAUGGAGCGAACGAAUGCGUGGUUGUUAAUUACGAUGCUGUAAGAAUGGGCAGUCGCGGGUGGAUGUAUACUGGUUUCAACAAAAAGACUAAGGCUCACUCAGAGGAGUGGUUUGUCAAGACUCAGAGUUUCUAGAUCAUGCUGCUGCUUUAUCACAAAUAGAUAAUAUUAGGUGUCCAUGCAACAAAUGCGGAAAUAUGACGGCCUAUGAUAAGAGACAGGUCACACUACACUUGUGUACACAUGGUUUCGUGCCAGGCUAUGAGAUAUGGUAUCUCCAUGGAGAGUCACGCUUUGAAAGAGACACACAAAUGAAAGUUGAUGGCAUUGGAGAUGAUAGGAUGUAUCAGAUGCAUGAGGAUCUACGGACAAAGUUGGAACCAGAUCGUCAGGAUCCGACUACAGUUGAGGAGGACAAGGAGCACCAGUGAGGGGGACAAGGAGUACCAGGAUGAUGAGACCGACCACCAGGAGGAGGACGAGCCUCAGGACAGGGCUUCCGAAGGCUCUAGUGUGCCACGCCAACAUCGCUCUAGAAAGAGCCACGGCAAUGAUUCAAUGUAACCAUGAUUGAUGCUUAUUUUUCAUUCAUAGAUUUGAAAACAACAUCUGUAAUACUAAUACAUUUGUUUAAUAUGUACCAUUCCAGCAAUAUGGUCUAAACAUAGUUCUCCUAGAGUUUUGACUGCCACCGUUGUUGCCACACCAUAAUGGAGCCCUAUGAUAGCUACACCAGUUCAGGUAUACAAAUCUUAAACAAUUUUCUAAUAACAUAGUCCAACCUAGCAGUUUGUCCAUGCAAUUCAAGCAAAACUUAUCCUAUUGUAUAUUAACGGUGUAACUUCGAGUAAACCCUAGUAAAUAUAGCCAAUUGUAUGUCAACUUUCGUGAGUUCUAACUUGAGAUGUUAAAUUCAAACAAAACCUAUAUAGGUACAUCAACUUUGCAAUUUGCACCCAUGCAUGCCCCAAUAUCACGGGGCGUACAAUGCAAGCCAACCACGAAUGAACAUUCGUAUUAAUUACUUCAUACACAUUGACCAUUUGUAAAAUCGGAAGUGGAGAAAAGGCAGAGGAAAUGAA